RNAcentral lists this ribosomal RNA (465 nucleotides) under uncultured bacterium. RNAcentral describes it as "partial 16S ribosomal RNA". It matches the Rfam family "Bacterial small subunit ribosomal RNA", at positions 338 to 795 of the family's 1533-position model. The record is from RNAcentral.
CCUACGGGUGGCAGCAGUAGGGAAUCUUCGGCAAUGGACGAAAGUCUGACCGAGCAACGCCGCGUGAGUGAAGAAGGUUUUCGGAUCGUAAAACUCUGUUGGUAGAGAAGAACGUUGGUGAGAGUGGAAAGCUCAUCAAGUGACGGUAAAUACCCAGAAAGGGACGGCUAACUACGUGCCAGCAGCCGCGGUAAUACGUAGGUCCCGAGCGUUGUCCGGAUUUAUUGGGCGUAAAGCGAGCGCAGGUGGUUUAUUAGGUCUGGUGUAAAAGGCAGGGGCUCAACCAUUGUAUGCAUUGGAUACUGGUAGACUUGAGUGCAGGAGAGGUAAGUAGAAUUCCUAGUGUAGCGGUGAAAUGCGUAGAUAUUAGGAGGAACACCAGUGGCGAAGGCGACUUACUGGACUGUAACUGACGUUGAGGCACGAAAGUGUGGGGAGCAAACAGGAUUAGAUACCCUAGAAGUC